Micropterus salmoides (largemouth bass) is the source of this 1444-nucleotide long non-coding RNA. RefSeq lists it as uncharacterized. The record is from RefSeq and is a predicted model, not a curated record. Lineage: Eukaryota; Metazoa; Chordata; Actinopteri; Centrarchiformes; Centrarchidae. The transcript is spliced from 5 exons.
AUUUUCUCUCUUUUUCAGAGCACUUAAGCUUAGCCACAGCAGUAUUUAAGUAAAGAGUUGUCUGAUAAACAAAAGCAGUUCCAACUCGCCAGGCUUCUCUCCGGCCUGCUAGCAACCAGCCUGCACUCCAGUCAGUUAGGCCCACGUUGUCCCUGCCUUUCCUGAGUUGGCUAGCCAGCCCACCUGUUCUUGAUUUGGCAACCUGAUGCUUGCCUUCCCUGAGGAGCCGCAGCCAUUGCCCUGCAAUACACCCUGAGACAAUGCUACUGCCCACUGACAUAGUUUUAAAAGCCUGCAUGCUGCUCUGAAAGUAAGGAGGCUGCUGUGGAGGCCAGGUCAGACCUCCCUGCAGGCCGGCUCCCUGGUUUCCCCUUUAGUUUGGCUUCUUUGGUUGGACUAUUGCUUUGUGUACAUGUUUGACCGCAAGGGUCGCUUUCUGGAUGUCCAUGUGGGCUUCCUUGACUGUGUGCACGAUGCCAGGUUCCCUUCCAUGUGCACCAGCCUCCAGGAUAGAAGGCUUGUGGGAAAUGCACACCAUUCCUGUGUGAAGCAUGCCAAGUGCCCCUCUGUGUUAUUCUGGACAGAGACUGUCACAAGUAUUUUCACAGCUAGGGUGGCCUGUGUAUAUGUAGUGGUGUCUUUCUGUUUAGUUCUGAUGAUGUACAUUAUUUUUUAUUUACACAAGACAUGGUCUUUGUUUUUUUUCACCAUUUAAUUGUUUAGUCAACAAUCCUCUCAAAAGCAAUAUGUUAUCUUUUUGAUUAUACAAAUUUAAAGGCACUCUUAUCACAGUCUUUUGCAUGUUCAGUUCCUAUAAUGUACAGUUUUAACCCCUCAAUUGUAUAGUGAGUAUAUAUGUAUAUAUAUUGAGUAUAGUGCAUAAUUGAAUAUAUAGAGUAUUGUAAUUGAAUAUUUGAUAAGGUCUUCUGUUUUUACCGCUUAAUUGUGUAAUCAACAUUGCUCUCAAAAGAAAUGUAUCAUCUGUUUCACUACACAGCUAAAAAGGCGUUAAUUGCACUGUUUAUAAAAAUGAAUGUAUCUUACAAACUAAUUUAUGUACAUAGUUCAGUGUUUUAUGGAGGUUUUUUACACUGACAAGUUUGAGGUUGGCAUUUGUUAUAUUUAUGUAUUUUAAAAAAAUGUGAACGAUUAGAAACGAUUAGAAUUUCUUUGGGUGUUUAUUGCAAUUUUCAGCUAUUUAUUGAUUUAUUAGUAAUUUAUUACAUACAUAGCUUUCAAAUUGGGGUUGUAAAACGCCUCUCAAUCUCAGCAUUGUGUAUCUUGUUCAUUUAAUCUGUACACAAACAGAAAUGUACAAAUAAAAAUUUGUAGUUUUACAAGAAGUAAAACCUACUAAAGCCAGGUGCAGUGACUUUCUGUACAUUUGUUUUCACUGUGAAGUUGCCAAUCCUAUGUUCUCUUACCAUUAAACAGCAUCACUCCU